This 2893-nucleotide ribosomal RNA is filed under the name Escherichia coli. RNAcentral describes it as "bacterial LSU rRNA". Lineage: Bacteria; Pseudomonadati; Pseudomonadota; Gammaproteobacteria; Enterobacterales; Enterobacteriaceae. The record is from RNAcentral.
ACUAAGCGUACACGGUGGAUGCCCUGGCAGUCAGAGGCGAUGAAGGACGUGCUAAUCUGCGAUAAGCGUCGGUAAGGUGAUAUGAACCGUUAUAACCGGCGAUUUCCGAAUGGGGAAACCCAGUGUGAUUCGUCACACUAUCAUUAACUGAAUCCAUAGGUUAAUGAGGCGAACCGGGGGAACUGAAACAUCUAAGUACCCCGAGGAAAAGAAAUCAACCGAGAUUCCCCCAGUAGCGGCGAGCGAACGGGGAGCAGCCCAGAGCCUGAAUCAGUGUGUGUGUUAGUGGAAGCGUCUGGAAAGGCGCGCGAUACAGGGUGACAGCCCCGUACACAAAAAUGCACAUGCUGUGAGCUCGAUGAGUAGGGCGGGACACGUGGUAUCCUGUCUGAAUAUGGGGGGACCAUCCUCCAAGGCUAAAUACUCCUGACUGACCGAUAGUGAACCAGUACCGUGAGGGAAAGGCGAAAAGAACCCCGGCGAGGGGAGUGAAAAAGAACCUGAAACCGUGUACGUACAAGCAGUGGGAGCACGCUUAGGCGUGUGACUGCGUACCUUUUGUAUAAUGGGUCAGCGACUUAUAUUCUGUAGCAAGGUUAACCGAAUAGGGGAGCCGAAGGGAAACCGAGUCUUAACUGGGCGUUAAGUUGCAGGGUAUAGACCCGAAACCCGGUGAUCUAGCCAUGGGCAGGUUGAAGGUUGGGUAACACUAACUGGAGGACCGAACCGACUAAUGUUGAAAAAUUAGCGGAUGACUUGUGGCUGGGGGUGAAAGGCCAAUCAAACCGGGAGAUAGCUGGUUCUCCCCGAAAGCUAUUUAGGUAGCGCCUCGUGAAUUCAUCUCCGGGGGUAGAGCACUGUUUCGGCAAGGGGGUCAUCCCGACUUACCAACCCGAUGCAAACURCGAAUACCGGAGAAUGUUAUCACGGGAGACACACGGCGGGUGCUAACGUCCGUCGUGAAGAGGGAAACAACCCAGACCGCCAGCUAAGGUCCCAAAGUCAUGGUUAAGUGGGAAACGAUGUGGGAAGGCCCAGACAGCCAGGAUGUUGGCUUAGAAGCAGCCAUCAUUUAAAGAAAGCGUAAUAGCUCACUGGUCGAGUCGGCCUGCGCGGAAGAUGUAACGGGGCUAAACCAUGCACCGAAGCUGCGGCAGCGACGCUUAUGCGUUGUUGGGUAGGGGAGCGUUCUGUAAGCCUGYGAAGGUGUGCUGUGAGGCAUGCUGGAGGUAUCAGAAGUGCGAAUGCUGACAUAAGUAACGAUAAAGCGGGUGAAAAGCCCGCUCGCCGGAAGACCAAGGGUUCCUGUCCAACGUUAAUCGGGGCAGGGUGAGUCGACCCCUAAGGCGAGGCCGAAAGGCGUAGUCGAUGGGAAACAGGUUAAUAUUCCUGUACUUGGUGUUACUGCGAAGGGGGGACGGAGAAGGCUAUGUUGGCCGGGCGACGGUUGUCCCGGUUUAAGCGUGUAGGCUGGUUUUCCAGGCAAAUCCGGAAAAUCAAGGCUGAGGCGUGAUGACGAGGCACUACGGUGCUGAAGCAACAAAUGCCCUGCUUCCAGGAAAAGCCUCUAAGCAUCAGGUAACAUCAAAUCGUACCCCAAACCGACACAGGUGGUCAGGUAGAGAAUACCAAGGCGCUUGAGAGAACUCGGGUGAAGGAACUAGGCAAAAUGGUGCCGUAACUUCGGGAGAAGGCACGCUGAUAUGUAGGUGAAGUCCCUCGCGGAUGGAGCUGAAAUCAGUCGAAGAUACCAGCUGGCUGCAACUGUUUAUUAAAAACACAGCACUGUGCAAACACGAAAGUGGACGUAUACGGUGUGACGCCUGCCCGGUGCCGGAAGGUUAAUUGAUGGGGUUAGCGCAAGCGAAGCUCUUGAUCGAAGCCCCGGUAAACGGCGGCCGUAACUAUAACGGUCCUAAGGUAGCGAAAUUCCUUGUCGGGUAAGUUCCGACCUGCACGAAUGGCGUAAUGAUGGCCAGGCUGUCUCCACCCGAGACUCAGUGAAAUUGAACUCGCUGUGAAGAUGCAGUGUACCCGCGGCAAGACGGAAAGACCCCGUGAACCUUUACUAUAGCUUGACACUGAACAUUGAGCCUUGAUGUGUAGGAUAGGUGGGAGGCUUWGAAGUGUGGACGCCAGUCUGCAUGGAGCCGACCUUGAAAUACCACCCUUUAAUGUUUGAUGUUCUAACGUKGACCCGUAAUCCGGGUUGCGGACAGUGUCUGGUGGGUAGUUUGACUGGGGCGGUCUCCUCCUAAAGAGUAACGGAGGAGCACGAAGGUUGGCUAAUCCUGGUCGGACAUCAGGAGGUUAGUGCAAUGGCAUAAGCCAGCUUGACUGCGAGCGUGACGGCGCGAGCAGGUGCGAAAGCAGGUCAUAGUGAUCCGGUGGUUCUGAAUGGAAGGGCCAUCGCUCAACGGAUAAAAGGUACUCCGGGGAUAACAGGCUGAUACCGCCCAAGAGUUCAUAUCGACGGCGGUGUUUGGCACCUCGAUGUCGGCUCAUCACAUCCUGGGGCUGAAGUAGGUCCCAAGGGUAUGGCUGUUCGCCAUUUAAAGUGGUACGCGAGCUGGGUUUAGAACGUCGUGAGACAGUUCGGUCCCUAUCUGCCGUGGGCGCUGGAGAAYUGAGGGGGGCUGCUCCUAGUACGAGAGGACCGGAGUGGACGCAUCACUGGUGUUCGGGUUGUCAUGCCAAUGGCACUGCCCGGUAGCUAAAUGCGGAAGAGAUAAGUGCUGAAAGCAUCUAAGCACGAAACUUGCCCCGAGAUGAGUUCUCCCUGACCCUUUAAGGGUCCUGAAGGAACGUUGAAGACGACGACGUUGAUAGGCCGGGUGUGUAAGCGCAGCGAUGCGUUGAGCUAACCGGUACUAAUGAACCGUGAGGCUUAACC